This 1400-nucleotide ribosomal RNA is filed under the name Staphylococcus saprophyticus. RNAcentral describes it as "bacterial SSU rRNA". It matches the Rfam family "Bacterial small subunit ribosomal RNA". Lineage: Bacteria; Bacillati; Bacillota; Bacilli; Caryophanales; Staphylococcaceae. The record is from RNAcentral.
GCAGUCGAGCGAACAGAUAAGGAGCUUGCUCCUUUGACGUUAGCGGCGGACGGGUGAGUAACACGUGGGUAACCUACCUAUAAGACUGGGAUAACUUCGGGAAACCGGAGCUAAUACCGGAUAACAUUUGGAACCGCAUGGUUCUAAAGUGAAAGAUGGUUUUGCUAUCACUUAUAGAUGGACCCGCGCCGUAUUAGCUAGUUGGUAAGGUAACGGCUUACCAAGGCGACGAUACGUAGCCGACCUGAGAGGGUGAUCGGCCACACUGGAACUGAGACACGGUCCAGACUCCUACGGGAGGCAGCAGUAGGGAAUCUUCCGCAAUGGGCGAAAGCCUGACGGAGCAACGCCGCGUGAGUGAUGAAGGGUUUCGGCUCGUAAAACUCUGUUAUUAGGGAAGAACAAACGUGUAAGUAACUGUGCACGUCUUGACGGUACCUAAUCAGAAAGCCACGGCUAACUACGUGCCAGCAGCCGCGGUAAUACGUAGGUGGCAAGCGUUAUCCGGAAUUAUUGGGCGUAAAGCGCGCGUAGGCGGUUUCUUAAGUCUGAUGUGAAAGCCCACGGCUCAACCGUGGAGGGUCAUUGGAAACUGGGAAACUUGAGUGCAGAAGAGGAAAGUGGAAUUCCAUGUGUAGCGGUGAAAUGCGCAGAGAUAUGGAGGAACACCAGUGGCGAAGGCGACUUUCUGGUCUGUAACUGACGCUGAUGUGCGAAAGCGUGGGGAUCAAACAGGAUUAGAUACCCUGGUAGUCCACGCCGUAAACGAUGAGUGCUAAGUGUUAGGGGGUUUCCGCCCCUUAGUGCUGCAGCUAACGCAUUAAGCACUCCGCCUGGGGAGUACGACCGCAAGGUUGAAACUCAAAGGAAUUGACGGGGACCCGCACAAGCGGUGGAGCAUGUGGUUUAAUUCGAAGCAACGCGAAGAACCUUACCAAAUCUUGACAUCCUUUGAAAACUCUAGAGAUAGAGCCUUCCCCUUCGGGGGACAAAGUGACAGGUGGUGCAUGGUUGUCGUCAGCUCGUGUCGUGAGAUGUUGGGUUAAGUCCCGCAACGAGCGCAACCCUUAAGCUUAGUUGCCAUCAUUAAGUUGGGCACUCUAGGUUGACUGCCGGUGACAAACCGGAGGAAGGUGGGGAUGACGUCAAAUCAUCAUGCCCCUUAUGAUUUGGGCUACACACGUGCUACAAUGGACAAUACAAAGGGCAGCUAAACCGCGAGGUCAUGCAAAUCCCAUAAAGUUGUUCUCAGUUCGGAUUGUAGUCUGCAACUCGACUACAUGAAGCUGGAAUCGCUAGUAAUCGUAGAUCAGCAUGCUACGGUGAAUACGUUCCCGGGUCUUGUACACACCGCCCGUCACACCACGAGAGUUUGUAACACCCGAAGCCGGUGGAGUAAC